UCGUGCUCGAAAUCGCCGAACCCUAAUUUCCAUUUCAAAAUCGACUCUCUCCUUUCGAUUUUCUCAUCUUCUAUUCCUCUUCUCUCCAUAUCCGUUUCGUAGAUCAGACGAAUCACCUCUCCUCUAAUCAAACAUUCGUGUAAUCAAAGCUCAUUCAAUGGUUCUCUUUCGUCUUCCCCUCUAUCAAUCUCUCUAUAAAACUUUUUUUGAAUAUUUUGCUCAUAUCCUCUCAAGAAUCUACGGCUAUGGAAUCCACCGGCCAAUCCCUGUAUCCAGCAAUCCGAAGCCGAACCGGAAGAUCUUUUCCAGACGACAAAACCGCUGUUUCCUCUGCCAUUCUGAGAUCGCGAUCUUCCUCCGCGCACGGUGACGAUGUGAUGUUCUUCAGAGAUGUCAGAAUGGGCCCACACGAAGAGGAGUUACGGUUUCGUCUGAUACAUUUUCGGGAGGCUCGAAACUCAAACACGAAGACACUCAUUGGCAUGGAGAUGCUCCUCAUUGACGAGCAGGAAACUGUUAUUCAGGGCUUUAUUCCAGCAGGACUGGUUGAAAUGUAUAUGCCUCACUUGAAAGCAGGUUCUGUUUAUAGACUGACCAAGUUUUACGGGUCCAGGAGCAAAGUUCAGUUCAGUGUUGCUGAUCAUAGUGUCACCAUUUCAUUAUCUUGGACCUCUGUCCUCUCGGUUCUUGAGGACAGUCUGGUUCCUUUUCACGAAGACCGGUUCAGGUUCCGUAGCCACGAGGAGUUUGAAGCUAAUUGUGACCUCAAGGGUGACCUUUAUGAUUAUCUUGGACACAUGAAGUUGGUCAAUGGGCAGCCUCUCACGGACUGUCCCAUCCUUAGAGGCUGCCCAUCCUGGACGAAGUUGAUAUAGCAAAGAAGCGGCAUCUGAUGGUUCAUGUGCAGACACAUGGCUGACCAUUGAUGAAACUAUACAUAUGGGACAAAGCUGCAACAGAUUUCUGCCUGAAGUACAAGUCAUAUGGGAUCACUCCAAGUGCUAUUUUAGUCACCACAUUGAACCCAAAAUGGAUUGGAGUGAUACUUCAUUCAUGUGUAAACAUCAAGAACCCUUACUCUGACUAUGUCAUCUUCACGGGUUUUUAUGGACACCGAUGUCCAACCAACUAGAGAUUAUCUUAGCUGGUUGGGCUCCAACUCGGAUAUUGCUUGGAAGAUUAAUGCAGAGAUUGUGACUAAGCCUGAGGCAGUCACUAUAGCUGAAUUAUUCUCCUACAUCAAACAGGAGAAUGCGAAGGUUGCUUGGUUUGAGUGCACAGCAACCAUAGAUGAUUUUGUCAGUGGCUGAGCUUGGUAUUAUAUUUCCUGUGGUGUGUGCCAUACUAAGGCAACCAAAGGGCCUAAGUCUCUGAUGUGUAAGAAGUUUGGGAAAGCUGAGAUUUUCUGCCGGAGUACCAGAGUAUCUGACCAAGAUCUUUGUCUAUGAUAAAAGUGACCAGGAAGUUUUUGCCAUCCUUGGUGAUGCUGGGUUUGAAUUAACUGGGCGUCAUGCAUGUGAAUUAGUGGCGAACCACUUUAAGUCAAAUGAGAACAUUGGAGAUGAUCAAAUCAUGCCGGUUCCACAAACUCUAACAGACACCAUUGGACAGACACAUAAGUUUCUUGUGAAAGUCUCAAAGCAUAACCUCCAAGGCUUGACUCAAUCCAUUACUGUGACAAAGGUCCUCCCACCAGAAGCUCCAGAAGAUUAUGCCAAUGCUCCAAAGUCUGCUGAAAUAUUGGAGCCAGUAAGUGAAGAAUGUGGACCUUCCUUAUGCAUUGGAGAUUCUUCAGGUGAGGGUAUCAAAAGUUCCACCGAAAGUGUUGAACCAGAAGCUGUCAAACGUGCCAGAGGUAGCUAGAAGAGCUCCUGGUUACCCUGGUUACCCUCUCUAGCAGUAAAUUCUUCACUGCAGUUUAAGUAUUGGUUUUGCAUUGACUUUGCUAUCUUUAUAUUUGCAUUUUCAGACUUUUGUUUCAUUGGAAAUAUUAGCUAUCUUUGUAUUACAUUUUAAUCAAGUUCAGAGGAUUUUAGACUAUGUC
Raphanus sativus (radish) is the source of this 2044-nucleotide long non-coding RNA. RefSeq lists it as uncharacterized. Lineage: Eukaryota; Viridiplantae; Streptophyta; Magnoliopsida; Brassicales; Brassicaceae. The transcript has 9 exons. The record is from RefSeq and is a predicted model, not a curated record.